CCUACGGGAGGCAGCAGUGGGGAAUAUUGGGCAAUGGGCGCAAGCCUGACCCAGCAACGCCGCGUGAAGGAAGAAGGCUUUCGGGUUGUAAACUUCUUUUAAGAGGGAAGAGCAGAAGACGGUACCUCUUGAAUAAGCCACGGCUAACUACGUGCCAGCAGCCGCGGUAAUACGUAGGUGGCAAGCGUUGUCCGGAUUUACUGGGGGUAAAGGGCGUGCAGCCGGGAAGACAAGUCAGAUGUGAAAUCCCGCGGCUCAACCGCGGAACUGCAUUUGAAACUGUUUUUCUUGAGUACCGGAGAGGUCAUCGGAAUUCCGUGUGUAGCGGUGAAAUGCGUAGAUAUAAGGAAGAACACCAGUGGCGAAGGCGGAUGACUGGACGGCAACUGACGGUGAGGCGCGAAAGCGUGGGGAGCAAACAGGAUUAGAUACCCCGGUAGUC
RNAcentral lists this ribosomal RNA (442 nucleotides) under uncultured bacterium. RNAcentral describes it as "partial 16S ribosomal RNA". It matches the Rfam family "Bacterial small subunit ribosomal RNA", at positions 338 to 795 of the family's 1533-position model. The record is from RNAcentral.